Brassica rapa (field mustard) is the source of this 382-nucleotide long non-coding RNA. RefSeq lists it as uncharacterized. The record is from RefSeq and is a predicted model, not a curated record. Lineage: Eukaryota; Viridiplantae; Streptophyta; Magnoliopsida; Brassicales; Brassicaceae.
AAAAACUGGUUAGUGUAUUUGGCAUUAUAAACAAACCAUUACACCAAGAUCAUAACUUGUAUAAGCAAACUAGUCGCAAAAGAUUCUAACGAGAGAGAGAUAUCACUGACCUGCCAUAGGGGGAUUUACCAAUGGAAAGAGUGUUAGUUAUCUUGGCUCCAGCAACUUGCUCUAACCAAGGUAAGAAAUCAAUGCACUCCUUAUCCAAAGCAGCCUAAACAUAUAAUGACAUCAUUCAUACAUUAAUCAGCUUUUCAAUUCAAGAACUCAACACUUUCAUCUUUCCUCUUAGUUCUACGUUUCCUAAUAGAACAAUUUCAGACAAGAAAACUAAAGCCUUGUCUGAAAUUCUCCAAGAAUAUGCGAAUAAGAAAAAAAAAUG